GGUUGUGGCUCAAUGGUAAAGCCUUUGCCUACCAGCAUGCAUGAGGCCAUGGGUUCAAUCCCCAGAACUG
This 70-nucleotide transfer RNA is filed under the name Marmota monax (woodchuck). Its description in RNAcentral is "tRNA.Gly". Lineage: Eukaryota; Metazoa; Chordata; Mammalia; Rodentia; Sciuridae. The record is from RNAcentral.